UGCCUACGGGGGGCAGCAAUUAGGAAUCUUGCGCAAUGGGCGAAAGCCUGACGCAGCGACGCCGCGUGACUGAUGAAGUCUUUCGGGAUGUAAAGGUCUUUUGCAGGGGACGAAGGAAGUGACGGUACCCUGCGAAUAAGCCCCGGCUAACUACGUGCCAGCAGCCGCGGUAAUACGUAGGGGGCGAGCGUUGUCCGAAUUCACUGGGCGUAAAGCGCGCGUAGGCGGGUUGUUAAGUUGUGGGUGAAAUGCCGAGGCUCAACCUCGGAACUGCCUGCAAAACUGGGAGCCUUGAGGUAUGGAGAGGGAAGUGGAAUUCCAGGUGUAGCGGUGAAAUGCGUAGAUAUCUGGAGGAACACCCGUGGCGAAGGCGGCUUCCUGGCCAUAUCCUGACGCUGAGGUGCGAAAGCUAGGGGAGCGAACGGGAUUAGAUACCCCGGUAGUCCG
Molecule: ribosomal RNA, 447 nt
Filed under: uncultured bacterium
Lineage: Bacteria
Description: bacterial SSU rRNA
Rfam family: Bacterial small subunit ribosomal RNA
Source: RNAcentral